Molecule: ribosomal RNA, 495 nt
Filed under: uncultured bacterium
Lineage: Bacteria
Description: partial 16S ribosomal RNA
Rfam family: Bacterial small subunit ribosomal RNA
Source: RNAcentral
GACGAACGCUGGCGGCGUGCCUAAUACAUGCAAGUAGAACGCUGAAGGAGGAGCUUGCUCUUCUGGAUGAGUUGCGAACGGGUGAGUAACGCGUAGGUAACCUGCCUGGUAGCGGGGGAUAACUAUUGGAAACGAUAGCUAAUACCGCAUAACAGUAGAUGUUGCAUGACAUUUACUUAAAAGGUGCAAUUGCAUCACUACCAGAUGGACCUGCGUUGUAUUAGCUAGUUGGUGGGGUAACGGCUCACCAAGGCGACGAUACAUAGCCGACCUGAGAGGGUGAUCGGCCACACUGGGACUGAGACACGGCCCAGACUCCUACGGGAGGCAGCAGGAGGGAAUCUUCGGCAAUGGACGGAAGUCUGACCGAGCAACGCCGCGGGAGUGAAGAAGGUUUUCGGAUCGUAAAGCUCUGUUGUAAGAGAAGAACGAGUGUGAGAGUGGAAAGUUCACACUGUGACGGUAGCUUACCAGAAAGGGACGGCUAACUACGUG